CGACGGAGGGAAGCAGUGGGACUCCUACGGGAGGCAGCAGUGGGCCCCACUCUCANGGGAGGCAGAAAAGAGACUCCUACGGGAGGCAGCAGUGGGACUCACUCCUACGGGAGGCAGCAGUGGGACUCCUACGGGAGGCAGGCAGUGGGACUCCUACGGGAGGCAGCAGUGGGACUCCUACGGGAGGCAGCAGUGGGACUCCUACGGGACGCAGCAGUGGGGCAGUUGGCUCAGAACGAACGCUGGCGGCUGGCUCAUACAGGAGGCAGGCGUG
RNAcentral lists this unclassified non-coding RNA (274 nucleotides) under uncultured bacterium. Its description in RNAcentral is "partial contains 16S ribosomal RNA and 16S-23S ribosomal RNA intergenic spacer region". The record is from RNAcentral.